Molecule: unclassified non-coding RNA, 352 nt
Filed under: uncultured fungus
Lineage: Eukaryota; Fungi
Description: sequence contains ITS1
Rfam family: 5.8S ribosomal RNA (bases 1-105)
Source: RNAcentral
GAAAUGCGAUAAGUAAUGUGAAUUGCAGAAUUCAGUGAAUCAUCGAAUCUUUGAACGCACCUUGCGCUCUCUGGUAUUCCGGGGAGCAUGCCUGAUUUGAAAUCUAGAAGGCCGGCUUGGGUAAAACCAAGCGGAUCAGGACCGAAUUUUUACUCCCAGAGCAAUAAUAGUUAAUGCGUUUUUGCGCGUUAUCCCUUUUUGCCCCGGGGUUGGCCCUGAACUUUUAGGCCUCACACUUUCUCUCGGCCCAGGCUGGAGAGGGAGGGACUAGAGUAUUUUGACGAGGCCUUCCUUCACCGGAACCUCUGACCUCUUAGAUCUCAAAUCAGGCAAGAUUACCCGCUGAACUUAA